Molecule: ribosomal RNA, 120 nt
Filed under: Sulfuracidifex metallicus
Lineage: Archaea; Thermoproteati; Thermoproteota; Thermoprotei; Sulfolobales; Sulfolobaceae
Source: RNAcentral
UCACCCGGUCAUAGUAGGCGGGAAAACACCCGGACUCAUCUCGAACCCGGAAGUUAAGCCGCCUACGUUGGUAUGGCCGUGGAUUCCGAGAGGAUCCGCAGCCCUGCCAAACCGGGAUGG